RNAcentral lists this ribosomal RNA (469 nucleotides) under uncultured bacterium. RNAcentral describes it as "bacterial SSU rRNA". It matches the Rfam family "Bacterial small subunit ribosomal RNA", at positions 335 to 798 of the family's 1533-position model. The record is from RNAcentral.
ACUCCUACGGGAGGCAGCAGUGGGAAUAUUGGACAAUGGGCGAAAGCCUGAUCCAGCCAUGCCGCGUGUGUGAAGAAGGCCUUUUGGUUGUAAAGCACUUUAAGCGAGGAGGAGGCUACUGAGAUUAAUACUCUUGGAUAGUGGACGUUACUCGCAGAAUAAGCACCGGCUAACUCUGUGCCAGCAGCCGCGGUAAUACAGAGGGUGCGAGCGUUAAUCGGAUUUACUGGGCGUAAAGCGCAUGCAGGUGGUUUGUUAAGUCAGAUGUGAAAGCCCGGGGCUCAACCUCGGAAUAGCAUUUGAAACUGGCAGACUAGAGUACUGUAGAGGGGUGAGAAUUUCAGGUGUAGCGGUGAAAUGCGUAGAGAUCUGAAGGAAUACCGGUGGCGAAGGCGGCCCCUGCGCAGAUACUGACACUCAGAUGCGAAAGCGUGGGGAGCAAACAGGAUUAGAUACCCUGGUAGGCUCU